UGCUUAGUUGAGGUUUUAUUGCUGCCACGAAACACUUCAACAAGGAGUCAUCUGCAAAGAUUGUUGGAUCAAAAUAAUCUAGGGAUUCAUGACUAAAUUUUUCGCCAGGAAAAAUUUUGUCCUGUGGGUUGACAUCUGAUAAACAUUAAAAAUACACUAAAUAAAAAAAUGAAGCUAAAAAUAUUAAAAGGCCUGAGGCUAAUCUAAUCUCAGAUAUUUGGGCCUGUAUAAAUGGGUGUAAAUCUUUGCUUCCAUUGCUUUAAACGCAUAAUGAGUUUGAUAGGCGUGCGUACUUCGAGAACUUUGAGUAAAUAUCACUGCUGUACACGAUUUCACCUGCUGUAACUAGGCAGCUUUAGACGAAAAUGCCUAACAAUUAGCUACAACGUCACCCAAGCUUUUAUCACGUCAUUAGCCGCCCACAAAAAAAGCUUAGCACGUUAUCAGCGCUUUCACUGAUUAAGGAACCUCCUGCUGACGUAUUCGUUAACGAGAAAAUUUGGUUGUAAACAAUAGAAAUAGACGAUGUUUACCACGCUGCUGAAGAAAGAACACCGAAGUUAUUAAGCCUACAUCCGCUUCAUUUACUUUUGCGAUCAACAGAAAUUACCUGGAAGAUUUUGGGCGAUAUGCUGCAGGGAUUUGCUGUUCAGGAGAUUGCUCAUUUUCUACAUCUUUCAGAAGACCCGGGGAUGGAGGCUGAGUCUGACAAACAGAAUAAGAGCAUUGUAUGAGAUUGCACUGCAAACUCCAAUUUGUCCUCAAAUGUGCUAUAAAUUCGACAACCAAUACACAAACAACCCCGCGACCUGGCCGCACCCGCAGAACCAAACCGGAAAGUUUGGUUCACAAAAAGGUGCUUGAUGAAGACUUCGACUCGAAGAUGCCUUUCCCUGAAACUAUAACUGAUCACCAAAGGAUGAAAAAAAAAAUCAGAGGGAGAUUGUUCAGUUUAAGCCACAGGCAGUGUUCUUCAACCUUAUUUCGCUCUUUACCUUGGAUUGUCCCAAGAAAUCACGCUUUUCGCUAAUGGCAUCAAUAUGGCGU
Stylophora pistillata is the source of this 1047-nucleotide long non-coding RNA. NCBI's taxonomy places the organism in Eukaryota, Metazoa, Cnidaria, Anthozoa, Scleractinia, Pocilloporidae. The record is from RefSeq and is a predicted model, not a curated record.